ACGGGAGGCAGCAGUGUGGAAUAUUGGUCAAUGGGCGGAAGCCUGAACCAGCCAAGUCGCGUGAAGGAUGAAGGUAUUAUGUAUUGUAAACUUCUUUAGCAGUGGAGUAAUAAGGGGAUCGUGAUCCCUGAUGCAAGUACACUGAAAAUAAGGAUCGGCUAACUCCGUGCCAGCAGCCGCGGUAAUACGGAGGAUCCGAGCGUUAUCCGGAUUUAUUGGGUUUAAAGGGUGCGCAGGCGGCUUUUUAAGUCAGCGGUAAAAGCGUGGGGCUCAACCCCAUCCUGCCGUUGAUACUGGAGAGCUUGAUUGCGGUUGAGGUUGGCGGAAUUCGUCGUGUAGCGGUGAAAUGCAUAGAUAUGGCGAAGAACUCCGAUUGCGUAGGCAGCUGACCAAGCCGUAAAUGACGCUCAUGCACGAAAGUGCGGGGAUCGAACAGGAUUAGAUACCCUGGCA
RNAcentral lists this ribosomal RNA (453 nucleotides) under uncultured Porphyromonadaceae bacterium. RNAcentral describes it as "partial 16S ribosomal RNA". It matches the Rfam family "Bacterial small subunit ribosomal RNA", at positions 341 to 792 of the family's 1533-position model. The record is from RNAcentral. Lineage: Bacteria; Pseudomonadati; Bacteroidota; Bacteroidia; Bacteroidales; Porphyromonadaceae.